This 157-nucleotide ribosomal RNA is filed under the name Monilinia megalospora. RNAcentral's name for it is "5.8S ribosomal RNA". It matches the Rfam family "5.8S ribosomal RNA". From Rfam's summary of the family: 5.8S ribosomal RNA (5.8S rRNA) is a component of the large subunit of the eukaryotic ribosome. It is transcribed by RNA polymerase I as part of the 45S precursor that also contains 18S and 28S rRNA. The record is from RNAcentral. Lineage: Eukaryota; Fungi; Ascomycota; Leotiomycetes; Helotiales; Sclerotiniaceae.
AUAGUUAAAACUUUCAACAACGGAUCUCUUGGUUCUGGCAUCGAUGAAGAACGCAGCGAAAUGCGAUAAGUAAUGUGAAUUGCAGAAUUCAGUGAAUCAUCGAAUCUUUGAACGCACAUUGCGCCCCUUGGUAUUCCGGGGGGCAUGCCUGUUCGAG